Long non-coding RNA from Papaver somniferum (opium poppy), 3061 nucleotides. RefSeq lists it as uncharacterized. Lineage: Eukaryota; Viridiplantae; Streptophyta; Magnoliopsida; Ranunculales; Papaveraceae. The record is from RefSeq and is a predicted model, not a curated record. The transcript is spliced from 3 exons.
AUUCUUUCUUCUUCGUUCUAAAAAGAACAUCGAUGAGAUUGUUUCAAUCUAGGUAUAAACAUAUUUUUUUCAUCUGAUUUAAUUCACAAAUUAGGGGUUCAGAUUUCGUUAAAAAAUUAGGGUGUCGAUUCGAUUAGAGUUUUAGUUUAGUUAGAUUCAUAUGAUUUAGAUUCCCAACUUUGGGGUUUUGAAGAUAAUCUGUUAUCGAUCUUUAUUCUUCAUCUACAGAUUUUUUUUUUUUUUUUUUUUUUUGUGAUGGAGUUGAUGGUGAUGAUAUAGUUUCAGUAAUCACAAAUUCAGUAAUAAGCAUUCUCAAAUCCAAAUUCACAAUAAAACCUAUUUCCCCAAAUACAAUUUCAGUAAUCUUGAUGGGUAACUCAAAUCCACAAACCGCAAAUCCCGACUAGAAUUUGGAACUCAAAUUCCCAAAUUCCAAUCUUCCCCCAAUUACAAUCUCCGUCAAACCUGCAGAAAACAAUAACUAAUUACCAAGAGUAGCAGCAGCAAGUUCAAUUAAUCCAACACAUCAAGUAAGUGCUUGCUUAUCACCCAUGCCAGGUUGUAGAGGAUCUUCUUAAUCUUGACAAAAAAAAGUAUUGCCCAUUAAUCUGUAGGCUGAACGAUCACGUACAAAUAUACUAGACAGCAAAACUAAGCAGCAUAAUCUUUAAACCCUUUAAGCUAUAUUCUCAAUUUUAUUUCGAAUUGUGUAUGGGUUUUGUGAAUUAGGAUUGGGUAUUCGUGUGCGUUUUCCUUCGUUCAAUAUAAAUAUCCAGAUGAAGCUUGGAAGCUGUUGAAAUGCUUGAUGGACUUCACCUCCCAAACAAGGAGGAAAGAUUUGCUUAACUUGAUCAAGUGGAUAUGUGUUGUCUAUGAAGGUUGUUGGGGUUUUGUUCCGUAUACAAAAUUAUAUGGCUGAAAUUGGACUUUAGGUAACAGUUUUGCAGCAGAAAACAAUGAUCUAAUGCUGUCAAAACCGUGGCUAAAGGUCAGUUUCGGGUUUGGAAUGUCUACAAGUUUUACAUGGGUUAGGAAACUUGUAUGACGGUUUGGUAGAGUGUUUCCAAGUUUAGGGUUUCCUAAUUAAGGCGGAAGACCAUUCUUAGAAGUUCUAGAAGACUUGGGAAGCAAGGAUUUGUCUACUAUAUAAGAGAGCUUAUAUUGUGAAUAGAAAAUACAUUCUCUUGGUUAAUUCUCUUGGAGAAUCCCUCUCUUUAUAGGAGUGUUCGGGUCACAACCGUUGUGUCUUACAAUGGUUGGUGAUGGACAAAAAUAUAUGUGAGAAGAAUGACUUGUGGUGAGAACGGGUAUGGGAAAAAUCUAGGGUUUCUAGGGUUCAUAUGGGUGAAGCUAGAAUUCAUGAUGUUCUUCAUGUUCUUGUCUAAAGUCGAAGCAACCAUGGCGGUGGAGGUUUAUGGAAGAAGAAGAACAAAGGAAGAGGUAAACUCUUCGUAAUAUGUCUUGUUGUUUCUAACGUUUAGGCUACUGGGUUACAUAACUAGUUGAUUAUGUGAUGUGUGUCGAUGUAAUAACUUGUUAUGAUAAUGAAGAUUCUCGGGUGGUUUUGGCCUUGGAUGUAGCCUAUAAAGGUGAACCACGUAAUCUUUUUGUCGUGUGUGAUUGUCUAUUAUCAUAUUGAUCAUAUAUUCGUGCUAGUAUUAUUCGAUCAUGCUAAUCUAAAGAUGUAAGAGACGGAUUCGAGCUAAGUUAUCUAAAGUAGGAUGUUUCAUGGAAUUGACUUCUAUGGAAACAUGCCGGUUCGAGAUGAACAUAACCUCGGUUUCCCGACAAAGUGGUGCGAUGAGCGUGGAUAAAGAUGCCAGGGAUUCGGUAAUUCGAACAAGAGGUUUCAAAGAAAAGAAAAUCUUGGUUCGUAGCGGAAUGAUAUAGAUCGUGAAGAUGAUGAGUAAAUCAAGACCGAACAAAUAAUGGGACGAUAUCAAAAAAGAUUCGACAACUUUGCUUGAUGUGACUAUGAUUCGUGUUGAAGGUGUUUUUUCUUUAUGAGAAAAUCGUUCGUGGAUUCAACUGGCGUCUGCAAAUAUUUCCAGGAGAAUGUUUUGAAUCAUGGUGGUGCUAAGUGACAAUCGUUCAUACACAACAUAUGGAGAUUGCAGCAUGUUUUGUCUACAUGGAGGAUGACUCAAGAUUGUUGGUUCUUAGAGUAGGUGAAAUCCAUCCGGAAUUGUUUGAAUGGCUCAGUUUAAACAAUGUCAAGUGUUAGACAUGUGUCAAAGAAGAAGUAUUCUAAGAAGGUGGAAUAAUGAGUGAUCAUAGCGACGAAGUAGUUUGAUACAGGUCAUGCAGAAACUUGUAUAAAUUAUAUAAAGAAGUUGUUUGUGGUGAUGCUAGAAGAUCGACAAAUAACGAUUCCGGUGGUGCAAGUGCAAAAGAGAAAUUCGGCUUAGGUGGUGGUUCAAGCUCAAAGUGCAAGACAAUUUUGAUUCGUGCUAGUGAUGAUGUCCACGAGGUGGUAAACAUUCAUGCUUUGUUGGAGUGAAGACGAAGGUUUUGGUGAUUGUUGGGAUUUUGUUCCGUAUACAAAACUAUAUGGCUGAAAUUGGACUUUAGGUAACAGUUUUGCAGCAGAAAACGGUGAUCUAAUGUUGUCAAAACCGUGGCUAAAGGUCAUUUUCGGGUUUGGAAUUUCUACAAGUUUUACUUGGAUUAAGAAACUUGUAUGACGGCUUGGUAGAGUGUUUUCCAAGUUUAGGGUUUCUUAAUUAAGGUGGAAGACCAUUAUUAGAAGUUCUAGAAGACUUGGGAAGCAAGGAUUUGUCUAUUAUAUAAGAGGGCUUAUAUUGUAGAAAAUCCAGUCUCUCGUUUAAUUCUCUUGGAGAAUCCUCUCUUUAUGGGAGUGUUCGGGUCACAACCGUUGUGUCCUACAAUGGUUGGUGAUAGGAAAAAAUCUAUAUGAGAAGAGUGACUUGUGGUGAGAACGGGUAUGGGAGAAAUAUAGGGUUUCUAGGAUUUAUAUGGGUGAAGCUAGAAUUCAUGAUGUUCUUCAUGUUCUUGUCUAAAGUCGAAGCAACCAUGGUGGUGGAGGUUUAUGGAAGAAGAA